CCACCCUAAAAUCUAGCAUCAAAAUGGCCCUUGAUCUUUGGUGCCGGAAUGUAGUGUGUAGUGCGUAGUGCCCAGACCCGAGGAUAAUGCCAAAACCGGUGCAGAAGCAAAUCUCUGAUAUGGAAUAGAAUGCCGCGACAAAGCGUGUUUCUUGUGGAAGCCCUGGCUUUUACAGUUAAUAAUGAUGUUGAAAUCCUGACCGUAUGCUCUAGGAACGGU
Molecule: long non-coding RNA, 219 nt
Filed under: Eucalyptus grandis
Lineage: Eukaryota; Viridiplantae; Streptophyta; Magnoliopsida; Myrtales; Myrtaceae
Description: long non-coding RNA (EGRA_LNC005958)
Source: RNAcentral